AAUAUUGGACAAUGGGGGCAACCCUGAUCCAGCCAUGCCGCGUGUGUGAAGAAGGUCUUCGGAUAUUAAAGCACUUUAAGUUGGGAGGAAGGGCUUUAGGGUAAUACCCUGCAGUUUUGACGUUACCAACAGAAUAAGCACCGGCAAACUGUGUGCGAGCAGCCGCGGUAAUACAGAGGGUGGAAGCGUUAAUCGGAAUUACUGGGCGUAAAGCGCGCGUAGGUGGUUCAGUAAGAUGGGUAUGACAUCCCCGGGCUUAACCUGGGAACUGCUUUCAUAACUGCUGAGCUAGAGUACGGUAGAGGGUAGUGGAAUUUCCUGUGUAGCGGUGGAAUGCGUAGAUAUAGGAAGGAACACCAGUGGCGAAGGCGACUACCUGGACUGAUACUGACACUGAGGUGCGAAAGCGUGGGGAGCAAAC
This 421-nucleotide ribosomal RNA is filed under the name uncultured bacterium. Its description in RNAcentral is "partial 16S ribosomal RNA". It matches the Rfam family "Bacterial small subunit ribosomal RNA", at positions 360 to 773 of the family's 1533-position model. The record is from RNAcentral.